ACAGACCCCGACCCUCACCAAAACUAUCAAAAGAGAGCACUUGCUGUUAGACAUAACCCUGGAUACCAGUCUCUUUAGCUAAUAUUCCACUCAUUGCCAAUCCUUGUCAUUGCCAAAGACACAGGCCUUCAAUUAUGAACAGUCCAUUUAUUGCAUGUUUAUCACCAGCCAAUGUGACCAGUCACACCAGAGAAGCUCUCGCCCUUCAAACUUCCCCGCCAGUUCAUUGUGAGCGCUGGAGCCUGAAGCCUAUUUUAUGUCCAGUAAGAGGAAGGUACUUUUUCCCUCUAAUAUAUAUAUACAUACAUAUUUAUUUAUUGCUAAAAGUAGGUGACAGAACUACUGUAGUUUGCUACUUCUGGGACAUGAUUGGGCUAAAAGUAGGUGCCAGAACUACUGUAGUUUGCUACUUCUGGGACAUGAUUGGGCUAAAAGUAGGUGACAGAACUACUGUAGUUGGCUACUUCUGGGACAUGAUUGGGCUAAAAGUAGGUGACAGAACUACUGUAGUUGGCUACUUCUGGGACAUGAUUGGGCUAAAAGUAGGUGACAGAACUACUGUAGUUGGCUACUUCUGGGACAUGCUUGGGCUAAAAGUAGGUGACAGAACUACUGUAGUUGGCUACUUCUGGGACAUGAUUGGGCUAAAAGUAGGUGACAGAACUACUGUAGUUUGCUACUUCUGGGACAUGAUUGGGCUAAAAGUAGGUGACAGAACUACUGUAGGUGGCUACUUCUGGGACAUGCUUGGGCUAAAAGUAGGUGACAGAACUACUGUAGGUGGCUACUUCUGGGACAUGAUUGGGCUACUGGUUGAGAGGAAUACAGGGAGGUUGGAAGAGAGAGAGGCCAGCGGAGAUGCAUGAAUUGCGUAAGAAUGAAACAGUGAAAACAGACGGUUUAUUUUUAUGUUACAUUUUAACACGGAAGACAUAUUGAGGUCUAGGUCUCUUUUUUCAAAUGCUGUGUAACACAACAUAAAUAUACAUACAUAUACACAACCGUUCAAAAGUUUGGGAAAGAAAGAAAUUCAUUAAAAUAACAUCAAAUUGA
Oncorhynchus keta (chum salmon) is the source of this 1053-nucleotide long non-coding RNA. RefSeq lists it as uncharacterized. The transcript is spliced from 3 exons. The record is from RefSeq and is a predicted model, not a curated record. NCBI's taxonomy places the organism in Eukaryota, Metazoa, Chordata, Actinopteri, Salmoniformes, Salmonidae.